GCCAUUUUAAAAGUAUGAAAAACUGUAGAAAUAGAAAUUGUCUAUCAUUUAUAUUGCCCAUAUGUGUACACUGAAUUCAGAUAUAAGUUCUUGGCUUUUGAAGUAAAAGGAAAUAUAUCAGCUACAUAGCAUUUAGUGGCUAGAGAGACCAUGGAAAUGCUUAUUUUGUUUCUUCCUGGAACCCAGCUCCAGUUGGUCUUUAUAUUACUGCAAUUCUUCCUUCUCUGAUUUGAAAAAGCACAGAAGCAUCAUUCAGAUGACAGAUGCCUGCAAUCAAAAAGAAAGGUCAAGAAGAUGCCAUGAUGUCCGCCCUGGCUGAGCUACAUAAGACAAUCUGAACAAUUGGGCUUUGAAGUUGGAGCUCAGCUUUCAGAUCCUAGGUCCCUUGGACAGCAUGACCGGGUCUCUGAGCUGGACUGGAGGCUCUUCUAGGCUCUGACAGAACCAUUCCUAGGAUCCUGCCCAAAUCUUGAUGUGCCAAGCUGACGCGGCUCUGCAAGUAUUCCCUGUCCACAUCAGAUUUGGAGAAGUCCUAGUGGCUCAAGAAAUAAAAGAACCCACUUGCAGUGCACCAGACACCAGAGAAGUGG
This 590-nucleotide long non-coding RNA is filed under the name Capra hircus (goat). Its description in RNAcentral is "lncRNA (ENSCHIG00000005535.1)". The record is from RNAcentral. Lineage: Eukaryota; Metazoa; Chordata; Mammalia; Artiodactyla; Bovidae.